UUUUGCCAUGGCCCACCAAAAGCUUGGAUCAGGGUAAAAGUUGUGCGCUAGAAGUUUCAUGGGGUGUUACAUCACAUGGACCGUUCAGAUUUUGGGCUCACAUCAAGCACACAAAGAGAAAUUUAACAAGAUAAUCAUGAUUGUACAAACAUAUUCAAUCAUAAAGCAAUCCAAAUUAAAUGGGGAAAAAACUACGGCACAAAGUAAUAAUGCACUAUAAAAAAACGAAGUUACAAGAGAUGAAAUCUUAGCAAUCAAAGCUCCAAGAA
Magnolia sinica is the source of this 269-nucleotide long non-coding RNA. RefSeq lists it as uncharacterized. The record is from RefSeq and is a predicted model, not a curated record. NCBI's taxonomy places the organism in Eukaryota, Viridiplantae, Streptophyta, Magnoliopsida, Magnoliales, Magnoliaceae. The transcript has 2 exons.